Molecule: ribosomal RNA, 481 nt
Filed under: uncultured bacterium
Lineage: Bacteria
Description: partial 16S ribosomal RNA
Rfam family: Bacterial small subunit ribosomal RNA
Source: RNAcentral
GACGAACGUUGGCGGCGUGCUUAAUACAUGCAAGUCAACUGAAGCAGUGGUAGCAAUAUCGCUGUGGAGGUGGCGCACGGGUGAGUAACACGUAGGUAAUCUGCCUUCAGGUCUGGCAUAACUCCGGGAAACCGGGGCUAAUAGCUGAUGAUGCAGCGGCUCGACAUCGAGACAGUUGUUAAAGCUAUGGCGCCUGAAGAUGAGCCUGCGUCUGAUUAGCUAGUUGGCGGGGUAACGGCCCACCAAGGCAACGAUCAGUAGCUGGUCUGAGAGGAUGAUCAGCCACACUGGAACUGAGACACGGUCCAGACUCCUACGGGAGGCAGCAGUAAGGAAUAUUGCUCAAUGGGAGAAAUCCUGAAGCAGCAACGCCGCGUGAGGGACGAAGGGCUUUUGCUUGUAAACCUCUGUAGUGAGAGAAAAAAAUCCCAAUCUUUGGGACAUGAUGGUAUCUCAAAAGUAAGCCCCGGCUAACUACGUG